This 425-nucleotide ribosomal RNA is filed under the name uncultured bacterium. RNAcentral describes it as "partial 16S ribosomal RNA". It matches the Rfam family "Bacterial small subunit ribosomal RNA", at positions 354 to 796 of the family's 1533-position model. The record is from RNAcentral.
GUAGGGAAUCUUGCGCAAUGGGCGAAAGCCUGACGCAGCCAUGCCGCGUGAAUGAUGAAGGUCUUAGGAUUGUAAAAUUCUUUCACCGGGGACGAUAAUGACGGUACCCGGAGAAGAAGCCCCGGCUAACUUCGUGCCAGCAGCCGCGGUAAUACGAAGGGGGCUAGCGUUGCUCGGAAUUACUGGGCGUAAAGGGAGCGUAGGCGGAUAGUGUAGGCAGAGGUGAAAUACCAGGGCUCAACCUUGGAAUUGCCUUUGAUACUGGCUAUGUUGAAUAUGGAGGGUGUAGGUGGAACUCCGAGUGUAGAGGUGAAAUUCGUAGAUAUUCGGAAGAACACCAGUGGCGAAGGCGACAUACUGGUCCAUUACUGACGCUGAGGCUCGAAAGCGUGGGGAGCAAACAGGAUUAGAAACCCCAGUAGUCC